Long non-coding RNA from Hibiscus syriacus, 553 nucleotides. RefSeq lists it as uncharacterized. The transcript has 3 exons. The record is from RefSeq and is a predicted model, not a curated record. NCBI's taxonomy places the organism in Eukaryota, Viridiplantae, Streptophyta, Magnoliopsida, Malvales, Malvaceae.
CCUUGGAAUACUCUCCGACAUGGGUGUGGCUGUUGUCUGCUUCGUCAUUGUCUUCAUUUCCCUUGCUGUUGAAAGACUCCUCCAUUUCCUUGGCAAGUACUUGAAGAAGAGAAAUCAGAACCUCUCUUGAGGCCUUGCAGAAGAUCAAGAAGGUAUGUAACACUCUAAAAAAUCGUGUCGGAAUUCGGUUUCGUGUCGUGCCGAUAUGCAUACAAAAUAAUGUUUUGUGUGUGGUUGUAGAGUUUGUUGCUGGGAUUCAUAUCACUGUUACUGACAGUGUUCCAAGAGAGAAUUAACAAAAUAUGUAUGUCAAAUAAUUUGGCUGAUCAAUGGCUUCCUUGUCGGAAAAAAAGAAGUAACCAAAGAACACUUCCAGACCCUAUUUCCUCCUUUCUUCCCCGGUGGUAUCGGUCGUCAUCUUCUUGCUGAGCCUCCGAUCCCGCUGUUGCCUACUGUGCUGCUAAGGAGAAAGUUCCAUUGUUAUCGACCACAGCGUUGCACCAUCUACAUAUGAUCUUUGUGCUGGCGGUCGUACAUGUGACUUUCUGUGCUC